This 465-nucleotide ribosomal RNA is filed under the name uncultured bacterium. RNAcentral describes it as "bacterial SSU rRNA". It matches the Rfam family "Bacterial small subunit ribosomal RNA", at positions 32 to 521 of the family's 1533-position model. The record is from RNAcentral.
AAUCAACGCUGGCGGCAUGCCUAACACAUGCAAGUCGAACGGGAAAGUGGGAGCAAUCCCAUGAGUAUAGUGGCGCACGGGUGAGUAACACGUGACUAACCUACCCUCGAGUGGGGAAUAACCCCGGGAAACCGGGGCUAACACCGCAUAAUACCGCAAGGUCAAAUGCGCAAGCAGCUUGAGGAGGGGGUCGCGGUUGAUUAGCUAGUUCCGGUAGGGUAAUGGCCUACCAAGGCAGNGAUCAAUAGCCGGCCUGAGAGGGCGCACGGCCACACUGGAACUGAAACACGGUCCAGACUCCUACGGGAGGCAGCAGUGGGGAAUUUUGCGCAAUGGGGGAAACCCUGACGCAGCAAUGCCGCGUGGAGGAUGAAGUCCUUUGGGAUGUAAACUCCUUUCGAUCGGGAAGAUAAUGACGGUACCGGAAGAAGAAGCCCCGGCUAACUCUGUGCCAGCAGCCGCCGC